This 424-nucleotide ribosomal RNA is filed under the name uncultured bacterium. Its description in RNAcentral is "bacterial SSU rRNA". It matches the Rfam family "Bacterial small subunit ribosomal RNA", at positions 608 to 1029 of the family's 1533-position model. The record is from RNAcentral.
CUCAACCGCUGAAUUGCACUGGAUACUGCCGCGCUUGAGUACAGGAGAGGCAGGCGGAAUUUCCGGUGUAGCGGUGGAAUGCCAAGAUAUCGGAAGGAACGCCAACGGCGAAGGCAGCCUGCUGGACUGUUACUGACCCUCAGGGACGAAAGUUGGGGGAGCGAACAGGAUUAGAUACCCUGGUAGUCCCAACCGUAAACGGUGUAUGCUCGAUGUCGGGAAGGUUCCGACCCUCCCGGUGUCCAAGCUAACGCGUUAAGCAUACCGCCUGGGGAGUACGGCCGCAAGGCUAAAACUCAAAGGAAUUGACGGGGGCCCGCACAAGCGGUGGAGCAUGUGGCUUAAUUCGAGGCAACGCGAAGAACCUUACCUGGGUUUGACAUAUACCGGACAGCCUGUGAAAGCAGGCCUCCCUUCGGGGUCG